GAUGAACGCUGGCGGCGUGCUUAACACAUGCAAGUCGAACGGAAAGGCCAGUGCUUGCACUGGUACUCGAGUGGCGAACGGGUGAGUAACACGUGGGUGAUCUGCCCUGCACUUCGGGAUAAGCCUGGGAAACUGGGUCUAAUACCGGAUAGGACAAUGGUUUGGAUGCCGUUGUGGAAAGUUUUUUCGGUGUGGGAUGAGCUCGCGGCCUAUCAGCUUGUUGGUGGGGUAAUGGCCUACCAAGGCGUCGACGGGUAGCCGGCCUGAGAGGGUGUACGGCCACAUUAGGACUGUGAUACUGCCCAGACUCCUAAGGGAGGCAGCAGGGGGGAAUAUUGGACAAUGGGGGCAAGCCUGAUGCAGCGACGCCGCGUGGGGGAUGACGGCCUUCGGGUUGUAAACUCCUUUCGCUAGGGACGAAGCGUAUUUGUGACGGUACCUGGAGAAGAAGCACCGGCUAACUACGUG
RNAcentral lists this ribosomal RNA (468 nucleotides) under uncultured bacterium. RNAcentral's name for it is "partial 16S ribosomal RNA". It matches the Rfam family "Bacterial small subunit ribosomal RNA", at positions 28 to 507 of the family's 1533-position model. The record is from RNAcentral.